CACGGGCUCUGGAGGAAGCAUAGCACCUCGCCCUGAGCCCCAUGCCCCACUCUGAUGGCCUCUGAGUGAUUGGAUCCUGCGUUCACCCUGCCUUAGACAAGGCUCCCCCACUUCACCCACCCUCGAGCAAAUUCAGGUAGAAGCUACCGCUACAUCUCCUCUGUAAUCUGGGAAGAAGCCUGAAGCCCAUGGUCUCCGAAGACCUCCUCCACCACAAAUGUGAAUCCAGCCCUGCAAGGCCACACCCAUGUCACCGAGCCAGAGCCAAACUACCAGAGCCCUCUCGCUUGUCAGCGCCAGGAAUUGAGGUGAACCUACACUGAAAUUGGUGUGAAUGCUGUUGAGUGUGUAAAACUAUCCUUGUGCACUGGCACAGUUGUUCCACCAUCCAGUCACAUCGUCUACUCUCGCUGGAGCUUUUUGCCACUGACAUCAGCUGGCACUGAGUUUUUCACUGCUUUCAUGGCAUCUUCUAAUCCGCCAAUCAGUCGGCUAAGUCUCCUCGAAAAUAGUGACAGAGGCUGCUUCCCGUGACCACGAAGGCUGACACUGAGCACACCAAGCCCCGCUGUGAUAAGAGGGGAGAGCAGGGCCACUGCACAGCUGCUGAAAUCCGGGUUUGCCUCAACCCUUUGGAAACACGCAGAAUAUUCAGUUGCACCCGCCGCAACAUAGCUUCUGCAACCUCCCUGUCACCGAGACCCAGUCCUGGUCUUAAUCUCUUACCUGAUGGGAGUCCUGCUGUGCCCUUUCCCGCGACCUCCGCUCCUCUUGGCCACUCUGGUUCCGUCCCAGUCCUGCAGACCAAGCUGGAAACACCAGAGAAAUGCCUUCCCGCCACUCUUCUGGAAUAUGCGACAGACCCAGCUCUGCACCAGGCUCUCGGGUAUUAGUCCUGCGUGCUGAGAGGACUUUGCCUCCCUGGUGUCUAUCUCCUGUACCCUCCUCACCAUGUCUGCUUCCUGGGUGGACAGGCUGAACGACAUGAUGUUUGGGACAGAGAAGUCCUGCAACCUCAAAGCAGCAAUGCAAUCAGACACAGGCCCAGCCGGGGUACUGGGGCCUGGGGAGCAGAGCAGGCCUGCAGACUUGGUGUCUUGCCUGGCUGUCACCACUGGCCCUCACCUGGGCUCCAGUCCAGUCCUGUGGGUGUUCAGGUCCCAGCCCAAGUCUGCUGCCCAGCAGGACCAAGGCUCAGGUUCCCGGUCCAGCUCCCAGAAUUCAAAGUCUGAGCCCACUUCAGCAUUUAAUUGUGGUUUUAUUUUUAACAAAUGAAAAUAAUUCAUGUAUCUAUAAAAACUGUUUGACCCACUAAUCUCAUUUUCUAAGAAUCUAUCACAAAGAUAGUCUAGAAAAAUAAGGGAAUUGCAAAGGUACAGUACCACUUAGAGCAGUGGAAAGCAGAAAGCAAUCUAAGGGCUAUCAACAGGAUAAUCUCAG
Heterocephalus glaber (naked mole-rat) is the source of this 1440-nucleotide long non-coding RNA. The record is from Ensembl. NCBI's taxonomy places the organism in Eukaryota, Metazoa, Chordata, Mammalia, Rodentia, Bathyergidae.